GAGUUUGAUCCUGGCUCAGAUUGAACGCUGGCGACAUGCCUUACACAUGCAAGUCGAACGGCAGCACGGGAGCUUGCUCCUGGUGGCGAGUGGCGAACGGGUGAGUAAUGCAUCGGAACGUAUCCUGGAGUGGGGGAUAACGUAGCGAAAGUUACGCUAAUACCGCAUAUUCUGUGAGCAGGAAAGCGGGGGACCUUCGGGCCUCGCGCUCUUGGAGCGGCCGAUGUCGGAUUAGCUAGUUGGUGAGGUAAAGGCUCACCAAGGCGACGAUCCGUAGCAGGUCUGAGAGGAUGAUCUGCCACACUGGAACUGAGACACGGUCCAGACUCCUACGGGAGGCAGCAGUGGGAAUUUUGGACAAUGGGGGCAACCCUGAUCCAGCCAUGCCGCGUGAGUGAAGAAGGCCUCGGUU
Molecule: ribosomal RNA, 412 nt
Filed under: bacterium enrichment culture clone ALO1_GLFRUDD03F80CK
Lineage: Bacteria
Description: bacterial SSU rRNA
Rfam family: Bacterial small subunit ribosomal RNA
Source: RNAcentral